CCUACGGGAGGCAGCAGUGGGGAAUUUUGGACAAUGGGCGAAAGCCUGAUCCAGCAAUGCCGCGUGUGGGAAGAAGGCCUUCGGGUUGUAAACCACUUUUGUACGGAACGAAACGGUCUGCUUUAAUACAGUGGGCUAAUGACGGUACCGUAAGAAUAAGCACCGGCUAACUACGUGCCAGCAGCCGCGGUAAU
This 194-nucleotide ribosomal RNA is filed under the name uncultured bacterium. RNAcentral's name for it is "partial 16S ribosomal RNA". It matches the Rfam family "Bacterial small subunit ribosomal RNA", at positions 338 to 524 of the family's 1533-position model. The record is from RNAcentral.